This 74-nucleotide transfer RNA is filed under the name Petromyzon marinus (sea lamprey). RNAcentral describes it as "tRNA-Ile (AAT) (tRNA-Ile-AAT-33-1)". It matches the Rfam family "tRNA". Rfam says of the family: Transfer RNA (tRNA) molecules are approximately 80 nucleotides in length. Their secondary structure includes four short double-helical elements and three loops (D, anti-codon, and T loops). Further hydrogen bonds mediate the characteristic L-shaped molecular structure. tRNAs have two regions of fundamental functional importance: the anti-codon, which is responsible for specific mRNA codon recognition, and the 3' end, to which the tRNAs corresponding amino acid is attached (by aminoacyl-tRNA synthetases). tRNAs cope with the degeneracy of the genetic code in two manners: having more than one tRNA (with a specific anti-codon) for a particular amino acid; and 'wobble' base-pairing, i.e. permitting non-standard base-pairing at the 3rd anti-codon position. Lineage: Eukaryota; Metazoa; Chordata; Hyperoartia; Petromyzontiformes; Petromyzontidae. The record is from RNAcentral.
GGCAGGUUAGCUCAGCUGGUUAGAGCGUGGUGCUAAUAACGCCAAGGUCUUGGGUUCGAUCCCCAUACUGGCCA